Molecule: unclassified non-coding RNA, 351 nt
Filed under: Flavobacterium columnare
Lineage: Bacteria; Pseudomonadati; Bacteroidota; Flavobacteriia; Flavobacteriales; Flavobacteriaceae
Description: partial 16S-23S ribosomal RNA intergenic spacer
Rfam family: tRNA (bases 88-161)
Source: RNAcentral
UGGAACACCUCCUUUCUAGAGACAAAAAAAGAAAAUAGACCCUUACUCUCGCUGUUAAUUCAAAAAAAGAAAAGACUUAAAAUACAGAGUCUCGUAGCUCAGCUGGUUAGAGUACUACACUGAUAAUGUAGGGGUCGGCAGUUCGAGUCUGCCCGGGACUACAAGUAAAUUUGAAAAUUGAUUAAUUUGAAAAUUUAAAAAAAUUAAGUUUAAAAGGAAAUUCUAGAAGCGAAUUUUGAAUUAUAAAUUUUAAAUCAUGAAUUUGAAAAAUAAUUCAAAAUAUAUAAAUCAACAUUCAAAAUAGAAAAAGAAUGGGGGAUUAGCUCAGCUGGCUAGAGCGCCUGCCUUGCA